CUUGCUGUCCACUGCAAAGUUGCCGCUUGCCACUUCCUUAUUAUUCGGUUUUCGUCUCCAGGCUGCAAGUCCAAGGAGAGGAGCAAGGGAGACAAGUGAGUCUAUUGUGUGAGUGCUUGCCCGGCAGCAGGCACCUGGCGACGGUCGAGAGGGGGAGAUGUGCGCCACUCAAGAGAAGGCUGCCAAAGAUCAGCCAGAGCCAGGCGGCUGAGCAGUGCUUUGGAAGGUGGAAGCAAGAAACAGAGAGUUCACCAAGCAUCAGCUGAAGGAUGCCUGUCGAAACAAAGAUGCCAUCAGCCAAUCACUGAGUGCUUUGCGAUUCUUCCUCUGCUGCCUGUUGCAGAAUCAGCUUUCUGGGCUCUGCAAUGAAUUAAUUUUCCUUCAUCUUUCAUGCAAUAUUCUAUCAAAACCAUUUCUUCGUGUUGCUUUGAAUCUGGAUUGCACAAAAUUAAUUGCCAGGUGUGUAUUAUAAAAUGAAAAUAAAUACAGUCUCUUGACUCGCAUAUUUCU
RNAcentral lists this long non-coding RNA (510 nucleotides) under Rattus norvegicus (Norway rat). RNAcentral describes it as "long non-coding RNA NONRATT015146". Lineage: Eukaryota; Metazoa; Chordata; Mammalia; Rodentia; Muridae. The record is from RNAcentral.